This 483-nucleotide ribosomal RNA is filed under the name uncultured bacterium. Its description in RNAcentral is "partial 16S ribosomal RNA". It matches the Rfam family "Bacterial small subunit ribosomal RNA", at positions 29 to 523 of the family's 1533-position model. The record is from RNAcentral.
AGUGAACGCUGGCGGCGUGCUUAACACAUGCAAGUCGAACGAGAAACGGAUUUAGCUUGCUAAAUUGCAGUCUAAGUGGCGCACGGGUGAGUAAUGUAUAGGUAAUAUGCCUCUUACUAAGGGAUAACAAUUGGAAACGAUUGCUAAUACCUUAUAUGCCUUUAAUACGAAAGUAUGCAAGGGAACGAUUUAUUGGUAAGAGAUUAGCCUGUAUGGUAUCAGCUUGUUGGUGAAGUAAUGGCUCACCAAGGCUAUGACGCCUAAAUGGUUUGAGAGGAAGAUCAGUCGCACUGGAACGGAGACACGGUCCAGACUCCUACGGGAGGCAGCAGUGGGGAAUAUUGCACAAUGGACGAAAGUCUGAUGCAGCAACGCCGCGUGGAGGAUGACACAUUUCGGUGCGUAAACUCCUUUUAUAUAGGAAGAUAAUGACGGUACUAUAUGAAUAAGCACCGGCUAACUCCGUGCCAGCCGCCGCGGUAA